AGUGAAGCGGGAUGAGCUCAAAUUUGAAAUCUGGCUGGUUUACUAGUCCGAGUUGUAAUUUAAAGAAGCGUUUUCGGUGGCAGCCUGGGUAUAAAUCCUUUGGAAUAGGGUAUCAUAGAGGGUGAGAAUCCCGUCUUUGACCUAGUGCAUGCUACUAUGUGAUACGUUUUCAAAGAGUCGAGUUGUUUGGGAAUGCAGCUCAAAAUGGGUGGUAAAUUUCAUCUAAAGCUAAAUAUUGGCGAGAGACCGAUAGCGAACAAGUACCGUGAGGGAAAGAUGAAAAGAACUUUGAAAAGAGAGUUAAACAGUGCGUGAAAUUGUUGAAAGGGAAACGUUUGACACCAGUCAUGUGGGUGGAAAAUCAGUCUUUUGCAUUGGGGAGUUGUAAGGGUUCGGACCGCAAGGCCGGCUUUUGCUUCAUCUUUGGUGUAAGUGAUGCACUUUUUCAUCUACAGGUCAACAUCAGUUUCUUUUGCUGGACAAAACUCCGAGAGAAGGUAGCAGCUUAGGCUGUGUUAUAGCUCUGGAGCGAUACAGUGAAGGGGACUGAGGUUUUCGCAGCGUGUGCUCUCGGGCAAGGCUGGAUGGGUGCUAUGGGAUCGUUCGGGGUACAAUGCCUGGCAUUUUGCUUCGUGUCUUUUCUAUACUCGCUCAACUCAGCUCUUCCACGCU
This 672-nucleotide ribosomal RNA is filed under the name Mortierella sp. RNAcentral's name for it is "partial large subunit ribosomal RNA". It matches the Rfam family "Eukaryotic large subunit ribosomal RNA", at positions 92 to 615 of the family's 3401-position model. The record is from RNAcentral. Lineage: Eukaryota; Fungi; Mortierellomycota; Mortierellomycetes; Mortierellales; Mortierellaceae.